Small nuclear RNA from Delphinapterus leucas (beluga whale), 164 nucleotides. Its record names the gene U1. It matches the Rfam family "U1 spliceosomal RNA". Rfam says of the family: U1 is a small nuclear RNA (snRNA) component of the spliceosome (involved in pre-mRNA splicing). Its 5' end forms complementary base pairs with the 5' splice junction, thus defining the 5' donor site of an intron. The record is from Ensembl. NCBI's taxonomy places the organism in Eukaryota, Metazoa, Chordata, Mammalia, Artiodactyla, Monodontidae.
AUACUUACCUGGCAGGGGAGAUAGCAUGAUCACGAAGGUGGUUUUCCCAGGGUAAGGCUUAUCCAUUGCACUCUGGAUGUGCUGACCCCUGCGAUUUCCCCAAAUGUGGAAAACUCGACUGCAUAAUUUGUGGUAGUGGGGGAUGGCACUCGUGUUUUCCCCUG